Cucumis sativus (cucumber) is the source of this 732-nucleotide long non-coding RNA. RefSeq lists it as uncharacterized. Lineage: Eukaryota; Viridiplantae; Streptophyta; Magnoliopsida; Cucurbitales; Cucurbitaceae. The transcript has 3 exons. The record is from RefSeq and is a predicted model, not a curated record.
UUCUUUCUCACUCUUUUCUACAUAGCAAAAUGCUGCGACUUCAACUUUCUCCUUUCUCAGUUGUCGUCGUUGUCUCCUUCAUCGUCGCCGAUUGUUCAAGCCUCCAUAGUGGUCAGUCCAUGUAUGACAUGCAAGAUUCUGCGUCAGAGAUGUGUAGAGAAAUGCAUAUUGGCUCCCUAUUUUCCUCCCUCUCAGCCUCUCAAGUUCACCAUUGCUCACCGCAUCUUCAACAUUAGCAACAUCAUCAAAUUGCUUCUGAAAACAUCUCCGGAAGAAACUCGAGUAGGAUUAGAACGGUAGCUGCCAAAAGAAGAAUGGGUUCCAAUUAAUCCUCUUCUGGUGAACAAGUUGGAUUUGGACAAAAUAUUUGCAUUCCCCUUAGACCCAAAUGUGGAAAUUGUAGUGUUAGUGACCUAUGCUCAUUUGCAUUUAAGGAGUCUUCAACACCAUCACCCAAAUUAAAUGGUUCAAGUUCUACCAAAAAGUUGUGAUCAUCUUUCUGUAUGAAUGAAUAUAUUUAGUUAGUCUUACAUUUUCCCCAAGUUUUUGGUUUUCUAUCUUUUUGGUUUUUUGUUUUUUUUGGCACCAUAAUGGUUUAUGAAUUUAGAGGUUCCAUUAUGGUUUAUAUCACCAAGUGGAUAUUGAAGGAUCUCAAUUGGCCAAUGUUGUGUAGAAUGAACCUUGUUAUUGAUAUUAUAAUGUAUUGAUGUUCUUGGUGCGGAUUUUACAUUA